UUAAGCGACUAAGCGUACACGGUGGAUGCCCUGGCAGUCAGAGGCGAUGAAGGGCGUGCUAAUCUGCGAUAAGCGCCGGUAAGGUGAUAUGAACCGUUAUAACCGGCGAUACCCGAAUGGGGAAACCCAGUGUGACUCGUCACACUAUCAUUAACUGAAUCCAUAGGUUAAUGAGGCGAACCGGGGGAACUGAAACAUCUAAGUACCCCGAGGAAAAGAAAUCAACCGAGAUUCCCCCAGUAGCGGCGAGCGAACGGGGAGGAGCCCAGAGCCUGAAUCAGCAUGUGUGUUAGUGGAAGCGUCUGGAAAGGCGCGCGAUACAGGGUGACAGCCCCGUACACAAAAGCGCAUGUGCUGUGAGCUCGAUGAGUAGGGCGGGACACGUGGUAUCCUGUCUGAAUAUGGGGGGACCAUCCUCCAAGGCUAAAUACUCCUGACUGACCGAUAGUGAACCAGUACCGUGAGGGAAAGGCGAAAAGAACCCCGGCGAGGGGAGUGAAAAAGAACCUGAAACCGUGUACGUACAAGCAGUGGGAGCACAGGUUUACCUGUGUGACUGCGUACCUUUUGUAUAAUGGGUCAGCGACUUAUAUUCUGUAGCAAGGUUAACCGCAUAGGGGAGCCGGAGGGAAACCGAGUCUUAAUUGGGCGUUAAGUUGCAGGGUAUAGACCCGAAACCCGGUGAUCUAGCCAUGGGCAGGUUGAAGGUUGGGUAACACUAACUGGAGGACCGAACCGACUAAUGUUGAAAAAUUAGCGGAUGACCUGUGGCUGGGGGUGAAAGGCCAAUCAAACCGGGAGAUAGCUGGUUCUCCCCGAAAGCUAUUUAGGUAGCGCCUCGUGAAUUCAUCUCCGGGGGUAGAGCACUGUUUCGGCUAGGGGGCCAUCCCGGCUUACCAACCCGAUGCAAACUGCGAAUACCGGAGAAUGUUAUCACGGGAGACACACGGCGGGUGCUAACGUCCGUCGUGAAGAGGGAAACAACCCAGACCGCCAGCUAAGGUCCCAAAGUCAUGGUUAAGUGGGAAACGAUGUGGGAAGGCCCAGACAGCCAGGAUGUUGGCUUAGAAGCAGCCAUCAUUUAAAGAAAGCGUAAUAGCUCACUGGUCGAGUCGGCCUGCGCGGAAGAUGUAACGGGGCUAAACCAUGCACCGAAGCUGCGGCAGCGACGCUGAUGCGUUGUUGGGUAGGGGAGCGUUCUGUAAGCCUGUGAAGGUGGCCUGUGAGGGUUGCUGGAGGUAUCAGAAGUGCGAAUGCUGACAUAAGUAACGAUAAAGCGGGUGAAAAGCCCGCUCGCCGGAAGACCAAGGGUUCCUGUCCAACGUUAAUCGGGGCAGGGUGAGUCGACCCCUAAGGCGAGGCCGAAAGGCGUAGUCGAUGGGAAACGGGUUAAUAUUCCCGUACUUGGUGUUACUGCGAAGGGGGGACGGAGAAGGCUAUGUUGGCCGGGCGACGGUUGUCCCGGUUUAAGCGUGUAGGUGUGUGUUCCAGGUAAAUCCGGUUCACUUUAACACUGAGGCGUGAUGACGAGGCACUACGGUGCUGAAGCAACAAAUGCCCUGCUUCCAGGAAAAGCCUCUAAGCAUCAGGUAACAUCAAAUCGUACCCCAAACCGACACAGGUGGUCAGGUAGAGAAUACCAAGGCGCUUGAGAGAACUCGGGUGAAGGAACUAGGCAAAAUGGUGCCGUAACUUCGGGAGAAGGCACGCUGACAUGUAGGUGAAGUGAUUUACUCACGGAGCUGAAGUCAGUCGAAGAUACCAGCUGGCUGCAACUGUUUAUUAAAAACACAGCACUGUGCAAACACGAAAGUGGACGUAUACGGUGUGACGCCUGCCCGGUGCCGGAAGGUUAAUUGAUGGGGUCAGCGCAAGCGAAGCUCCUGAUCGAAGCCCCGGUAAACGGCGGCCGUAACUAUAACGGUCCUAAGGUAGCGAAAUUCCUUGUCGGGUAAGUUCCGACCUGCACGAAUGGCGUAAUGAUGGCCAGGCUGUCUCCACCCGAGACUCAGUGAAAUUGAACUCGCUGUGAAGAUGCAGUGUACCCGCGGCAAGACGGAAAGACCCCGUGAACCUUUACUAUAGCUUGACACUGAACAUUGAGCCUUGAUGUGUAGGAUAGGUGGGAGGCUUUGAAGUGUGGACGCCAGUCUGCAUGGAGCCGACCUUGAAAUACCACCCUUUAAUGUUUGAUGUUCUAACGUGGACCCGUUACCCGGGUUGCGGACAGUGUCUGGUGGGUAGUUUGACUGGGGCGGUCUCCUCCUAAAGAGUAACGGAGGAGCACGAAGGUUGGCUAAUCCUGGUCGGACAUCAGGAGGUUAGUGCAAUGGCAUAAGCCAGCUUGACUGCGAGCGUGACGGCGCGAGCAGGUGCGAAAGCAGGUCAUAGUGAUCCGGUGGUUCUGAAUGGAAGGGCCAUCGCUCAACGGAUAAAAGGUACUCCGGGGAUAACAGGCUGAUACCGCCCAAGAGUUCAUAUCGACGGCGGUGUUUGGCACCUCGAUGUCGGCUCAUCACAUCCUGGGGCUGAAGUAGGUCCCAAGGGUAUGGCUGUUCGCCAUUUAAAGUGGUACGCGAGCUGGGUUUAGAACGUCGUGAGACAGUUCGGUCCCUAUCUGCCGUGGGCGCUGGAGAACUGAGGGGGGCUGCUCCUAGUACGAGAGGACCGGAGUGGACGCAUCACUGGUGUUCGGGUUGUCAUGCCAAUGGCACUGCCCGGUAGCUAAAUGCGGAAGAGAUAAGUGCUGAAAGCAUCUAAGCACGAAACUUGCCCCGAGAUGAGUUCUCCCUGAGACUUAGAGUCUCCUGAAGGAACGUUGAAGACGACGACGUUGAUAGGCCGGGUGUGUAAGCGCAGCGAUGCGUUGAGCUAACCGGUACUAAUGAACCGUGAGGCUUAACCUU
RNAcentral lists this ribosomal RNA (2906 nucleotides) under Salmonella enterica subsp. enterica serovar Cubana. Its description in RNAcentral is "bacterial LSU rRNA". It matches the Rfam family "Bacterial large subunit ribosomal RNA". Lineage: Bacteria; Pseudomonadati; Pseudomonadota; Gammaproteobacteria; Enterobacterales; Enterobacteriaceae. The record is from RNAcentral.